AGCUUUGGCAGUGGCAGUAUCAUAGCCAGUGGGGUUUAUCUGAGGUGCAAUUAUUACUAAUUGAAAACUUUUUCCAAAACACCGCAGUGACAACAUUGGCAAUUUUUGACAGUCUCUAUGGAUA
Small nuclear RNA from Myotis lucifugus (little brown bat), 124 nucleotides. Its record names the gene U4. It matches the Rfam family "U4 spliceosomal RNA". From Rfam's summary of the family: U4 small nuclear RNA (U4 snRNA) is a component of the major U2-dependent spliceosome. The structure of U4 snRNA from yeast and human has been reported. U4 snRNA presents a k-turn RNA motif in the 5p-SL related to recognition of Snu13 protein. The record is from Ensembl. Lineage: Eukaryota; Metazoa; Chordata; Mammalia; Chiroptera; Vespertilionidae.